ACGUCCUUAAUUUGAAAAAGGAAUGCGCUCGUUUUUCGCCGUUAAAUGUUGCAGCCUAAUUUUGGAUCGAGAAUUAAGUGCGACGAAGAUGGCCGUUAAUAAUAGUUCUACUACUUUAAGAACACGGUUCAGAUUUGGAUAACGACUUCGAAGGCAUUCGCAGGAGACCAAACAGAGAAAGAGAGGGAGACACAAAACCACCUGUCUCGGUGUCACACAUGAGGAGUUGAGGAGGAGAUGAAGUCAGUGAAUAUGACCUGGCCUGGGGGAGUUUCCAGAAGAAGGCCCAGAAUCGCUGGAUGCCAGGAGUGGAGAUCCUUCGUUGCUGCCCUACAUGAUAGGAGGCAUCGGGCAGUAGAUGCUGUAAUUUGAAACGGAAGGUGUCCUGCCAAUAAAUUUUCAUCCCACCUGAACUGCCUUGCCUGCCUGCACCCAGUCAUCUGUUCCUGAGCAUUUUCAUUUUCCUCUAUUUUUCAUCACCCUUUGUUUCGGCCUGUAUGAAGUGAAUUUCACAUUGAUUGGUGGAGCUGCUAAGUUGGCAUUACAGGGCCACGCCGGGGUAUGAUCCUUUGGGUUGAACAUCAUGACUGCUAGUUGGUCGGCAAAGGUGAUGGGAUCGAUCAAUGUCACAUGGAGUAAGAUCGAUACCAAUCUGCUUUGCUACAUUUCGAACAAUCUCAUACGGAUACGGAUAUUAUUGCGACAGGAGUACUGCUCGAUGUGGUCAAGCCUAUUUGACAAAGCAUUAUGGUGUUAGUCAUGUUAUCAGAAACCGAUUUUUCAAAAUCACGGAGUUGCUUCAAUUUAGUAUCGAUAGAUAUUUCAAGAACGUGUAGACUAGUGAGCUUUUCAUCAAGAAUUUCACGCAAUUUAUUUUCGUGCUUAUCCAUGUCAUCAUUGAGUUUUUGUCUCUCGCGUUCCAUUGCCACGGCCACCGCUCUUUGAACGACUGUAUCAAUAUGAUCUAGGUAUGCUGGGCUUUGUUUAGAUCCAGUUAAUGAUGAAGCAGAGGAUUGUGUACAUGCGUUAGCCGAGUGCAAGCGGCCUCUUGAUCUGGUGGAAAUCUUAGACAUGUUAGAGAUUACGUAAUGAUAUAAUUGAAAAGUGGGAUGGGCUGCGCAUCUGCCAACUCACCAGUCAACCAAUUAGAGACGGCCUUCCAAAGUGACACAGCACGAAAAUAUCAAUAUGGGACUGGUCUAGUCAACACAUAGAUCCUGAAAAAACCAUGGAGACCGCAGAUGCAAAAUGACUUCCAUACAUAAAGAUAUGAUGCACAAUCUCCAGUGGGUUCAAAACACUGAACACAUACUAUGCUGAUACACAGACUAUCAUAAGAACUUUAUCAAGCUAAGGAAAUCUGGUAUGAAAUCUCUCAGCUCACAUAAAAAGCCUACGUAGCUACAUGUAGGGAAGAAAAUGCGUAAUUGCUGAGAAAUGAGCAAAAUAAGCAUGUAAUUCUAUCAAAUGUCAGGUAUUUUUCGAAUCGAUUAUAAUACACUGUCCCACAUAUGCUUUUCUGUGUUUACAGCGAUCAUCAGAAUUAUCGAUUUUAAGUUAAAAAAUUCAUGAUUUUACAAAGAUACAAGUUUACAUUAAUGUACCAGAUGUAGAUUAUGUACAAUAUAUUGACAAUUAACUUUGAUUUUAUAGAUUUUUUCAAGAAAUAAUUGUUUGCUGCAACUACUGUCUUUUCCUUCUACAUGUAAGUGAUAGUGUAAUACAACAGUUCCACAAACUAUUUUCAUCAGACUUAUUGAUGCAUGAUUCUUUCACCCAAAUGCAAGCUUCCAUAAAUCCUGAAAACUUUGAACUCAGGUAUUUUUUUUUUU
This is a long non-coding RNA of Lytechinus pictus (painted urchin), 1832 nucleotides long. RefSeq lists it as uncharacterized. The record is from RefSeq and is a predicted model, not a curated record. NCBI's taxonomy places the organism in Eukaryota, Metazoa, Echinodermata, Echinoidea, Temnopleuroida, Toxopneustidae. The transcript is spliced from 3 exons.